RNAcentral lists this small nucleolar RNA (138 nucleotides) under Ornithorhynchus anatinus (platypus). Lineage: Eukaryota; Metazoa; Chordata; Mammalia; Monotremata; Ornithorhynchidae. The record is from RNAcentral.
CCCCUCUCAGGAUCUCACCUGGAGAGUUUCCAGUAUUCUACCACUCUUGGCUAUGGGAGGAAGAGUCAAGAAGAGGCAUAUCCAUUCCAUUCUUAGCUUGGGCAGUGGCUAGCGAGUGGAAGGCAAACUGCUACAAGU